RNAcentral lists this ribosomal RNA (497 nucleotides) under uncultured bacterium. RNAcentral describes it as "bacterial SSU rRNA". It matches the Rfam family "Bacterial small subunit ribosomal RNA", at positions 28 to 529 of the family's 1533-position model. The record is from RNAcentral.
GACGAACGCUGGCGGCGUGCUUAACACAUGCAAGUCGAACGGACGAGUGAGAUAAGUUUACUUAACUCACAAGUUAGUGGCGGACGGGUGAGUAACACGUGGAUAAUCUACCUGCAACACCGGGAUAACGCUGUGAAAACGGUGCUAAUACCGGAUACGUUCCCUUGUGCGCAUGUAUGAGGGAAGAAAGCUCAGGCGGUUGCAGAUGAGUCCGCGGCUGAUUAGCUAGUUGGUGAGGUAAAGGCUCACCAAGGCGAUGAUCAGUAGCCGGCCUGAGAGGGUGAACGGCCACACUGGGACUGAGACACGGCCCAGACUCCUACGGGAGGCAGCAGUGGGGAAUCUUCCGCAAUGGGCGCAAGCCUGACGGAGCAACGCCGCGUGGGUGAAGAAGGCCUUCGGGUUGUAAAGCCCUGUCUUAUGGGAAGAAGUCAGUGACGGUACCAUAGGAGGAAGCCACGGCCAACUACGUGCCAGCAGCCGCGGUAAUAGUACUA